Aedes aegypti (yellow fever mosquito) is the source of this 1153-nucleotide long non-coding RNA. RefSeq lists it as uncharacterized. NCBI's taxonomy places the organism in Eukaryota, Metazoa, Arthropoda, Insecta, Diptera, Culicidae. The transcript has 2 exons. The record is from RefSeq and is a predicted model, not a curated record.
GACUAUUGCAAUCGCACGUAAAUCCCGUUUCUUCAUAAAACUUUAUGGUCCUCUAUCCAUCCAUCCAUUUACUCCUCCAGAACAACCAUUCGAAGUACCUAGUGGCUUUAUCGCACUUUAGUUCUCGCGCGAAUCGUCCGCCCUCUGCCGACAGUAAUAAAUCAUCUUCAGUCUCGGUCGACCGUUGCUUCUCAGCACUAAGAUCGCGUUCCCAAUAGCGCAUCAUCCAGGUUCAACCAACGACACGGAUCGAUUAAGGUUCGUUCCUGCUCCGGGGCAACUUGGAAACUCGUGGUCUAUGAGAGUAUGAGUACUUCUUCUUGGCGCGGCAGAUGUGGCAUUGAAAUAGGAACCAGAUUUUGAUCCCCGGCCAUAAAACAUGAACCCUUUGUGAAAUGGUUGUCUGCUUUUUUCUGACGGUGCCCUACCGAAUGUAAGCAAGUACUUGACUUUGACGCGGUCGCCAGAUCUGCCAAAGGGAGGAAAACGAUAACAUCCGCUCCAUAGAGUCUUCUGCUCGCAGACACUCGUUGAUGAUGACGAACAUGAUGAGAAAUUGGCGUGUCGGACAGAAAAGAAGCUUCAAAUGGCGGACCUUAUCGGAGAAUUCUAGCGAAUAAAGGCCCGGAACCUGCAGCACUUCGGAGGAGCUAGGAUCAAAUUACCUGCCCCAAACCUGUGCGGAUGAAUCGACGAAGAAUGGAUCACACAGCCAAGGAGAGAUUGAAAAGUUAAGACGUGAGGUCGUCAAUGUCAACCGUGGUUGACCUCCGUGUCGUUCGUCUUUCAGCCUUCAUCCGACUUCCCGAUAAGAACAAAAAAAAAAAAGAGAAUUAUAACAACUGAUGUUAUUUUGUAUCAAAAAAGUUAACAAAGUGUAUUUAAACAGAAAAAAACUGAUAAAGGAUAAAAAAGUUGAAAUUGAAGGGAAUUCGAUGGCUUAUCGACAGGUGGAAAUCGUUCCUAGACCCUAGAGGUAGUUCCUCCAAUAUUGAAGCAUUUCCUCAAAGAUUUCUUAGUUUUCCAAAACUGCUCCAUUCAGUUUGUUUUUUUUUUAAUCUGUUAAUGCAACAAAUUACUCAAGUUUUAUGGGUCUUCAAUUAACAUAAUUUGGCGAUGAAAAUGCGUUGGCUCGAUGUCGAGUUGAAAUCGG